Molecule: transfer RNA, 72 nt
Filed under: Diaphorina citri (Asian citrus psyllid)
Lineage: Eukaryota; Metazoa; Arthropoda; Insecta; Hemiptera; Psyllidae
Rfam family: tRNA
About the family: Transfer RNA (tRNA) molecules are approximately 80 nucleotides in length. Their secondary structure includes four short double-helical elements and three loops (D, anti-codon, and T loops).
Source: Rfam by way of RNAcentral
GCUUAGUUGGUACUUUGGUAGUGCGUCUGCCUUGUAAGCGCUAGGCCGCGGGUUCGAUUCCCGCCCGGGGCG